Myodes glareolus (Bank vole) is the source of this 3474-nucleotide non-coding RNA. The record is from RefSeq and is a predicted model, not a curated record. Lineage: Eukaryota; Metazoa; Chordata; Mammalia; Rodentia; Cricetidae.
AAGCCUGUAUAAGUCAGGCUGUCUGUCUGUCUGUCUGUCUGUCUUCUUGUCUCUCUCUCUCUCUCUCUCUUUCUCUGUUUCCCUACUGCAGGUCAGGGUGCAGUUUCUCGACUACUUCUCCAGCUCCCUGUCUUCCCGCCGACCACCAUGCUCCCCGCCAUGAUGAAAAUGGACUAACCCUCUGAAACUCAAACCCUUGCUCUCUGUUUCAGAUGCAUUCUACCGGGACUCUCCUCAAGUAUUUAUAGAAACAUGCGCAGCGCUAUGAAUUUACAGCUGUGCACAUGUGCUGUCUUGGCCUUGAACGUGCUGUGCAAACAGAGCAUGAAAUGAAACCGUCGCACCCUGUUUCUCAGGGAAGGGAACCAACGGCUGGGCCAUUCUGGUUUCACAAAAGUCACCUGAAGCCGACUUAGUCUUGAUAUUAGGAGAGGACAAAGCUGCCCCACCGCUUUUGAUGGUUGGAGAGGUUGCGCUCCCCUGUUUCCUUGGCGUCUGCUCAUUUGUUUUCUGCCUAUUCAGAAAUGACGAUUGACGUUCAUCUGUGUCAGCUCUGAAAAAAAAUUCCCAGACCCAAUACCAAAGAUCACAGUCAUCCGAUAAAGUCAUUUGUUGGAUUUUCCUUUUCUGCCUGCUUGACUAUGCAACUAAACAAGCCCAACCACACUUCCGCUCUGCCUCAUAUACCUGCUGUCCCUGACUGCAACCCCAAGCCCAGGAAAGGUCUGAAAGGUGCUGUGUUCAUACAUGUCCUCUUUCCUGUCCAUUCUCACCACUCCUUUUAACUGGACACAUUCAACCCUCCGACUCCCCAUAACCACCCCAUGAGAAGCGAUUACUUUUAAAUUAAGAUAUUUUUAACUAAUAAGCCCAGUAGCAUCUGUUUAUUUUUAGUUUGCAUAGAAAGAGUUACUAUAAGAUAAUAGCAAUUUCAAAGGGAUCCAACCUAUUUUUCCUUCUCCCCAUCACUUUCCCGUCAAAGAAACAAAGGUCUUUGUUUGCAUUCUCUUUGUCUGCAUCCCUCUGUUGUGCACACCCUGCUGGCUUUGUCUUCCUCCUUUCCCAUCCGGCUGUCUGCACCUCCGCAUCCUACCUUUCAUUCCCCUCCUCCUCCCUGCAUCCCUUUCAUCAGGAUCCCUGCCUCUCCUCCCUGACUCUUCGCUGGUGUCAAUGACACUAGAGAGGUUUUACAUUUAUGCUGUACUUUAAAAGGCUGGGCUGGUGCACAUCUCGGUGGUAGAGGACUUGCCUACCAGUCAUGAGACCUCCAGUUCAAUCCCCAGCACUGGAACCAAAAGGAAAGGCCAAUCACCGCUUUCCUCUCAUACCCUCUUUCUUUUGUGGAUUCCUGCCAGCCUUGGUCCUCUCUUCCAUGGCUCAGUAAAACCUCACCCUCUUCUCCUUGCCUGUGUUUCACAGUUAGAUCUGAUAUGCAUCACUCCACAGCUCUUGGUGGGGGUGCCCAUCUCAUCCAGAUGUGGGGGGGGGACCUCUCUGCAUGUGCAUUCCAUUCACACCAUUGCCAUACAGUUAAUCUCAGCUGCAAAACAAAGCACCCGGGUAGCCAAGCAGAUAAAGGUAAGGCAUUGGCAACACAAGCCUCACCACCUAAGUCCAGGUAUGCUCAAAAUAGUAAAUAAAAGUUAUUUCCAGUUACUUUGUCAAGAAUAAGCCUCAAAUCGUGUUGAUCCAUUCAGGUUUCUCUGCACACACUCCUGCCGCUACUUGGUUUAGUCGCAUUGCUUGGACGGCUGGAACACUUCUGGGCUGUGACAGCCUUCUUCUAAGGGUUCCAAGAGAGCUUGUUUGCCCUUACAACUGAUGGCCGCAUCGCUGGAAUGCAUCAUGUGUGAGGACCAGGGCUCUCUCCUGACCAGCCAGCACCAUGAUCACGGGUUUCCCCUUGUUCACAAGCCAUCCAGUCUAAGCAAUCACUGAAGCUUAGUGAAGAAGACCACAGCCGCUCGGAAGACAUUAGCUGAAGGAGCAACUCCACAGCAUUUGAUAUUCCCAGAGACCUCCUGCCACACCCUUCUUAAAGACGUUUACCAAGUCCUUGCUACCUACAAAAUGACAUUGAAAUGACCCAGUGACCCGAGACCCGUACUGUCUCAGAUUUCUCCAGCCUUGUUCAAGUCACCAGUCCCCUUCGCCUUCACAUCAUAUGGAACGCACUAUCCCUCGCACAGCCUGUGACUUCUCAUGAUGGUAGCAUGGCCUAGAAAGCCCCUCCUCCUUCUCUUUCUGGCAACAUUCAUCAUCGCAUGCCCUGAAGAUCAGUCAUUUCCUUGAUCACUGUCACUUCAGUUAUCACAAAGUCGCACCAUGGUGCCUUCCUGUUCUGGGUUUCAUGGGUUUCAAGGCUCCUAAGGCCAAGAAACUGUUACUUAUGCAUCUUGUUGACUGAACUAAACACUUUACAAUGUAAUCUUUGGAAGCCCCUCCUCAAAUUCACCUAGGAUGAUUCCGGGCUGAACUGUGGAACUGCUGGGUCUAUUUGUCGGGGGAGAGGGAAGGAAGAAAUCUCUUGAGUGAUCCCAAUGUUAGAGAACACAUCUACAGUGUCUGGUGAAUAUUCGAAAAAUACAAACAUAAUUGAAGAUACUAAGAUCUCUACUCCUAAAAAAUCUGCCCUCUUUUCUCCUUCUCUCUGGGGUGUAGCUUAUCGGGUGACAGAUCCAGGUAUUUGGCUCAGCACAGAUCAAAGUGACUUAAUAGGAAACAGCUUUGCAUUAUUCUUUAACUGAAUCAUGCAAAGUACCCAUUGUCCUGUCCAAAUGCCAAGCUGCAUUUAGGGUCAUUUAGAGUCCGGAAGAUGGUUGGCUGUGAUAAGAACUCAGACAUUCUUGCUCAAGUGGGAAACUAGCAUUUGUGCACGUGUUCUGCUUUUAGCUCAGCAAAGCCAUGUUCUUAAGUGGCUCACAAGGGUCUUCUAAUGAGCUCUCCAGCUCCCUUUACUGUGCUUAGGAACAAUGAGGAUAAUUCUGUUCUGGUUAACAGUCUUUCCCUGCUGCCUCUGGGUGGACUGUGAACAGGCUUUAGAGAGCUGUUUCAGGCUGUCGAUUAGACUGGUGAACAGUUGUGAGGAUGGCCAAGGCCUGUUUGGCCAAGCAUCUCUAAAAUGCCCUUUGAAGUAUCCCUUUAAUGUUGAUCUCUAGCAUCGUCUUGAGAUAUGUUGUAAAAUGCACCAGGUCAAGAAACAUCACAAAACUCAGGUUAUCUGAGAGACCUCAGGAUGACACAAAGGAUACUUAAAAGACUUUAUUAGCAAAAGAGCAAAUUAUUUUUAAAGACCACAUGGAGUCAGCAGACCUAUUUCUGGUUAUACAACCAAAGGAUUUGACAUUAAGAGGUUAAGAGGUUCAAGUUAUCUGUCUUCCCAAGUUCAUGUAAUAUUCUUCAAUGUUUUUAUUAUUUAUUUCUCUCUUAGGUAACAUACCAUCAGUGAUGAAACUACAAAGCCUUCGUUUCCCA